This 253-nucleotide ribosomal RNA is filed under the name uncultured bacterium. RNAcentral's name for it is "partial 16S ribosomal RNA". It matches the Rfam family "Bacterial small subunit ribosomal RNA", at positions 524 to 776 of the family's 1533-position model. The record is from RNAcentral.
UACGUAGGGGUCGAGCGUUGUCCGGAGUUACUGGGCGUAAAGCGUGCGCAGGCGGCUCAUUGCGCCCGGCGUGAAAGCCCCCGGCUCAACCGGGGAGGGUCGUCGGGGACGGGUGAGCUUGAGGGUAUCAGGGGUUGGUGGAAUUCCCGGUGUAGUGGUGAAAUGCGUAGAGAUCCGGAAGAACACCGGAGGCGAAGGCGGCUUGCUGGGCUGGGUCUGACGCUGAGGCGCGAAAGCGUGGGGAGCGAACAGG